AAAUUGAAGAGUUUUUUGAUCGAUCAUGGCUCAGAUUGAACGCUGGCGGCAGGCCUAACACAUGCAAGUCGAACGGUAAAACAGGGGAAGCAGCUUGCUGCUUUGCUGACGUGUGCGGCGCGGUAGUAAUGUCUGGGAACUGCCUGAUGGAGGGGGAACUACGGAAACGGUAGCUAAUACCGCAUAACGUCGCAAGACCAAAAAGAGGGACCUUCGGGCCUUUGCCAUCUGAUGUGCACCAGAUGGGGAUUAGCUAAUAGGUGGGGAAACGGCUUCACCCAGGCGACGAUCCCUAGCUGGUCUGAGAGGAUGACCAGCCACACUGGAACUGAGACACGGUCCAGACUCUACGGGGAGGCAGCAGUGGGGGAAUAUUGCACAAUGGAGAACGCAAGCCUGAUGCAGCCUGCCGCGUGUAUGAAGGCCUUCGGGUUGUAAAGUACUUUCAGCGGGGAGGAAGGGAGUAAAGUUAAUACCCUUUCUCAUUGACGUUACCGCAGAAGAAGCACCGGCUAACUCCGUGCCAGCAGCCGCGGUAAUAAGGAGGGUGCAAGCGUUAAUCGGAAUUACUGGGCGUAAGCGCACGCAGGCGGUUUGUUAAGUCAGAUGUGAAAAUCCCCGGCUCAGCCCUGGAACUGCAUCUGAUACUGGUAAGCGUUGAGUCUCGUAGAGGGGGUAGAAUUCGGUGUAGCGGUGAAAUGCGUAGGAGAUCUGGAGGAGGGGAAUACCGGUGGCGAAGACGCGCCCCCUGGACGAAGACGGACGCUCAGGUGCGAAAGCGUGGGGAGCAAACAGGAUUAGAUACCGGGUAGUCCACGCCGUAAACGAUGUCGACUUGUGAGGUUUGUGCCCUUGAGGCGUGGCUUCCGGAGCUAACGCGUUAAGUCGACCGCCCGGGGAGUACGGCCGCAAGGUUAAAAACUCAAAAUGAAUUGACCGGGGCCCGCACAAGCGGUGGAGCAUGUGGUUUAAUUCGAUGCAACGCGAAGAACCUUACACCCGGUCUGAAUACGGAAGUUUUCAGAGAUGAGAAUGUGCCUUCGGGAAACCGUGAGACAGGUGCUGCAUGGCUGUCGUCAGCUCGUGUGUGAAUGUUGCGUUAAGUCCCGCAACGAGCGGCAACCCUUAUCCUUUGUUGCCAGCGGUCCUGGCCGGGAACUCAAAGGAGACUGCCAGUGAUAAACUGGAGUGAAGGUGGGGAUGACGUCAAGUCAUCAUGGCCCCACGACCAGAGCUACACGUGCUACAAGGCGCAUAAAGAGAGAAGCGACCUCGCGAGGCAGCGGACCUCCCAGUAAAGUGCGUCGUAGUCCGGAUUGGAGUCUGCAACUCGACUCCAUGAAGUCGGAAUCGCUAGUAAUCGUGGAUCAAAAUGCCACGAGGUGAAUACGUUCGGGCCUUUACACACCGCCCGUCACACCAUGGGAGUGGGUUGCAAAGAAGUAGGUAGCUUAACCUUCGGGAGGGCGCUUACCACUUUGUGAUUCAUGACUGGGGUGAAGUCGUAACAAGGUAACCGUAGGGGGGAACCUGCGGUUGGGAUCAUCACUCCUACCUUAAAGAAGC
This 1566-nucleotide ribosomal RNA is filed under the name Escherichia coli. RNAcentral's name for it is "bacterial SSU rRNA". It matches the Rfam family "Bacterial small subunit ribosomal RNA". Lineage: Bacteria; Pseudomonadati; Pseudomonadota; Gammaproteobacteria; Enterobacterales; Enterobacteriaceae. The record is from RNAcentral.